This 391-nucleotide ribosomal RNA is filed under the name uncultured bacterium. RNAcentral's name for it is "bacterial SSU rRNA". It matches the Rfam family "Bacterial small subunit ribosomal RNA", at positions 29 to 423 of the family's 1533-position model. The record is from RNAcentral.
ACGAACGCUGGCGGCGUGCCUAACACAUGCAAGUCGAGCGGAGUAUUAGCAAUAAUACUUAGCGGCGGACGGGUGAGUAACACGUGGGUAACCUGCCUCAUGCAGGGGAAUAGCCAAUCGAAAGGUUGAUUAAUACCGCAUAACCCAAAGAGUAUGCAUAUACACUUUGGCAAAGGAGAAAUCCGGCAUGAGAUGGACCCGCGGCCCAUUAGCUAGUUGGUGAGGUAACGGCUCACCAAGGCGACGAUGGGUAGCCGAUCUGAGAGGAUGAACGGCCACAUUGGAACUGAGACACGGUCCAGACUCCUACGGGAGGCAGCAGUGGGGAAUAUUGGACAAUGGGCGAAAGCCUGAUCCAGCCAUGCCGCGUGUGUGAAGAAGGUCUUCGGAU